AUUGUUUAUCGAUUUGAUCACACGACCUGUUGGGAAUCCGGUACUAGCUCCGGUAUCAGAUUUUAUAAAUCUGCAACCCGCUCUGAUACUGACUGCUGUGGAUUCGAUACCAAUUGUUGGGAUUCCGCAACGGAAACGUCGAAUCUGAUUUUUACCAUAAACCCGUCUCCGUCUCCUCAACAAAAGCUGAUACAAUCACAAAAGAAAAAAAAAUCAAAACAGAAAAUAUGCGGAUAAAAUAAAAUUCAUUAAAUAAGAGAAUAUUACACGUAACUCCUUUUCUGCAUAGAGUAGCUGCAAUUUGAGCCCUCUUUCUUGAAUCUCUCUUACCCUUCUUUCGUCUUUUAUAAAUCUAAAAGACAAUCCUUCGUGUGCACUUAUACACUAGGUGCACUCAACUCACUAACUCUCUCUCUCUCUCUCUCUCACGGCAACGAGGAAUUCUACACUGUCACACUUACACCACGUCAUCAAUAAUAAACUAAUCACAUUUCUUCUUCUCAAACAAAAGUACAAUAAAAAUAUUUUUUUACAAUCAUAAUGGGACAUAUACCCUUAAAAUGAGACAUUUGAUUGAUUUGUUACGCCACGUCAUCAAUGUACCCGUUGCAUUCUAGAAUUUUUCCACGGCAACGAAGGCUAGCCGUACACACCUCUCAGCCCUUUAUAGCUCUUGGCUAAUUAAUUUGCCCCAAUGCAUUAUAUAUAAUGCUCAACCAAAGAUGUAGCUAAUCCUAAUAUAUUUAGAAUUCCUAUUUUAAUUAAUAUCUACAUCUAUCUUAAUUAAUCUCUACUAGAUUUAAAUAUUAAUCAUAAUCUAGUUAAUUUUAUCCUCUAAUUAAUAUCUAAAUCUUAAUUUAUCUCCAACAAACUUAAAUAUUAAUUCUUAUCAAACUAGAAUUAAUCUACAAAUCUAACUAAAUCCUAACACGACCGUCUUCGUGAGACGCUCGAUCGAUCAAAUCAAUCAUGCAUUG
Molecule: long non-coding RNA, 977 nt
Filed under: Ananas comosus (pineapple)
Lineage: Eukaryota; Viridiplantae; Streptophyta; Magnoliopsida; Poales; Bromeliaceae
Description: long non-coding RNA (ACOM_LNC017662)
Source: RNAcentral